RNAcentral lists this long non-coding RNA (681 nucleotides) under Bos taurus (domestic cattle). RNAcentral describes it as "long non-coding RNA NONBTAT007145". The record is from RNAcentral. Lineage: Eukaryota; Metazoa; Chordata; Mammalia; Artiodactyla; Bovidae.
CCUUUCUCAUAUUGACUUAACUCUGAUCUAGUCCCCUUAUGUACUGCAAACUCUUGCUAAGAUCCUCACUAAGCCCAUCUGGUGGUGCUGUAUAUAUUCUUAAUUUUCUUCUCUUUGCCUCUUGAAGAUUGGAUGACUUCCUCAUAGUCCCAGUCAUUGACUGGAAUUCCAUUGAUCACUCAUGAAUAUUGGAAACAUGAUUCUCAAACCAUUUAAUUUGGAGAAUAUACUCCUAUAGCUGUGUUAUGCCUACACAAUUUUACUUCCUUAGUGAUUGAAAUAUUUUUGGCUCCAAAUCUUAGUUUGAGGUGCCUCUUGUGACUAUUUUUAUUUUUAAUCCCCAGCUAUUAUUGCUAUCCAGUCUCAAAUUUUAUUCCUGUUCUUAUAGGCUACUGAGACCCUAACAUAUCUUACAUCUGAGGCUGCUCAGUUUUUGUUCAGAAUAGCCACGUCUUUGGUCUUGUCAUUUGGUGUUAAUAUAUUAAGGUGAUUGAAUUAGUCAUCUCUGUGAUUCUUUUCUUAUUCUAUGCAGUUGCAAUUUAAAAAGACUUCACUGGUACAUGGUUAUGGACACUACUUAGUAUCUUAAAUAUAUGAGAGAUUCUAAAGGGCUCCACAUACAGAAAGAUUCAAGUGCAUGUUUUAUUGAUUAUGGAAUGGCUACUGUCAUGAUAUAAAAUG